RNAcentral lists this ribosomal RNA (321 nucleotides) under Brachycephalus puri. RNAcentral's name for it is "partial small subunit ribosomal RNA". Lineage: Eukaryota; Metazoa; Chordata; Amphibia; Anura; Brachycephalidae. The record is from RNAcentral.
AGACUYGACGGUGUCCCAAAUCCCUCUAGAGGAGCCUGUCCCAGAAUUGAUGAUCCGCGUAAACCUUACCAGCUCUAGCUUAACAGUCUGUAUACUUCCGUCGCAAGUCUGCCACGUGAGUGGAAAUCAGCAGGCAAAAUGUUUUUUUACAGUAUGUCAGGUCAAAGUGCAGCAAAUGGGUUGGUGGAGAUGGGCUACACUUUCUAWUWUAGAAGAUACGAAAGACUCUAUGAAAAUUAGUCGGAAGGUGGAUUUAGUAGUAAGAAGAAAACWSKWYGUUCUUUUUAAUAUGGCRRUGGGGUGCGYMCACACCGCCCSUCA